Long non-coding RNA from Neofelis nebulosa (Clouded leopard), 1420 nucleotides. RefSeq lists it as uncharacterized. The transcript has 2 exons. The record is from RefSeq and is a predicted model, not a curated record. NCBI's taxonomy places the organism in Eukaryota, Metazoa, Chordata, Mammalia, Carnivora, Felidae.
ACACUGGAGCCCCCUCCCUCCCAGCCCCGCAGCUCCUGAGGAAAUCAGGAACUGGAGCUGGAGAGAGCGGACUGGAGCUCCCACCUCCUCCAAGGGCCCCAGCCGGCCGGGGGUUUCAAAGUUUCCCAAACCCAGGGACACCUCCUGGAUUCUCAGUUUGGGGCUGUGUUCCCAAGAGCCUCGGUGGUUGUAGGAUAAAGGAGUUUGGAGAAACAAAGUUGGAAGCGAGGAAACAGAAUGGGAACGGUUUGCAGCUUGCACCAAAGUAAAAAAGUGUCAGAACCACACCUUAAAAGAAAAUCCCAAACCGCCCAUCUUAUGUCACCUUCUCUUACCAUUCUAAGAAAAUAGCAUUUAGUAUGCUGUUAUAACCAAGGAAAUCUGCGUUGAGUAAAGUGCAACUAAGACGGAGAAAGAGGGAGUGUAGGUAACCCCCUGCCUUUAUUCCCCCCACCUCCCACCGUCAGUUCUUCCAGAUGUUUCUCCUAAACGUUAACGGGACAGUUAUUCAAUCGAUCAGUUUAGUGGCUGGUAGACUCCAGCGGCCACCCGGCAGUAAGAGCUUGGCCAGGGCGGAGGAAAGUUUGCACACAGUAGGUACUCAAAUAGUGAUGCAAAUGAUGAAAUCUACUGAGUGCAAAGACAAGGUGAUUGACUCGGUUGGUGCGGCUGCUGGAAAGCUGACUACCGCUAGCCUCGGCAGUCACGGGGUGAUCCAGUCUCAGGAUUCCAGGAUUUGCAUUUAUCAGCCUUCAUUCAACCUGCCCUAUUGUUAGUUCAAAGCCUGGCUGGGAGGGACUUCUAGACUCUGCUCCUCACUCACCUUCAGUUUAAAAUUCUCCACCAAUAAGAAGGUCCUAGAAAAGCUGGCAGCAUAGGGUUGGCAGGGAUUUUCUGGGCUUAGUGACAACAUAAACUAAAGUCAUUUUCUUUUUCAUGCGUGAAUUUGCUCAGGAAGUUACAACUGAGUGCUCCAGCUUGGAGAGAAGGGCCGGGCUGCCUGUCCGCUUUGACGGACAGUUAGUGUGGGGGGUGGCAGCACCGUGACCUCUCAGCGCAAGAUCUAGGGUUUCACCUUUUCAUCCCACUUAGCCGAUACCAUAGAAACAACCCAUUUGUAUUAUUCAAUUCAACAGAGGCAAUUACAAUGUCACAGCAAAGCACCAUGGGCAUGAAGAAACUUUAUCCUGAAAGCAAUCUUGGACUCUCAAAAAAAAAACCAAAAAACAAAAAAAACGCCACGGGAAUAGUCAUUUGAAUUUCUUCAUGCCAGGCUACCAGGAAAAAUGCAAUUUGGAACAACACAUAUAAGGUCGUUUGGCUCCAAAGAAAGAAACCUCCCAAUUUUUUAAAUAUGUCCAUACAAAAAUCCUCAAUUUAUAAGAAAUUAAACAGGUAAGGUAACUCUUCUAACCCCAAA